Molecule: ribosomal RNA, 420 nt
Filed under: uncultured soil bacterium
Lineage: Bacteria
Description: bacterial SSU rRNA
Rfam family: Bacterial small subunit ribosomal RNA
Source: RNAcentral
AGAUUGAACGCUGGCGGCAGGCCUAACACAUGCAAGUCGAGCGGCAGCACGGGUACUUGUACCUGGUGGCGAGCGGCGGACGGGUGAGUAAUGCCUAGGAAUCUGCCUGAUAGUGGGGGAUAACGCUCGGAAACGGACGCUAAUACCGCAUACGUCCUACGGGAGAAAGCAGGGGACCUUCGGGCCUUGCGCUAUCAGAUGAGCCUAGGUCGGAUUAGCUAGUUGGUGGGUAAUGGCUCACCAAGGCGACGAUCCGUAACUGGUCUGAGAGGAUGAUCAGUCACACUGGAACUGAGUACACGGUCCAGACUCCGUACGGGAGGCAGCGAAGGUGGGAAUAGUUGGACAAGUGGGCGAAAGCCUAGACUCCAGCCAGUCGCCGCGUGUGGUAGAAGUAAGGUUCUUACGGUAUUACGUAAA